GGAGAGAUGGCAGAGCGGCUGAAUGCACUAGCUUGGAAAGCUAGCAGGCGCAGAGAAUGCGCCUCGCGGGUUCGAUUCCCGCUCUCUCCG
Molecule: transfer RNA, 90 nt
Organism: Zostera marina
Lineage: Eukaryota; Viridiplantae; Streptophyta; Magnoliopsida; Alismatales; Zosteraceae
Rfam family: tRNA
About the family: Transfer RNA (tRNA) molecules are approximately 80 nucleotides in length. Their secondary structure includes four short double-helical elements and three loops (D, anti-codon, and T loops).
Source: Rfam